RNAcentral lists this ribosomal RNA (621 nucleotides) under uncultured fungus. Its description in RNAcentral is "eukaryotic LSU rRNA". The stretch from base 206 to 359 matches the Rfam family "5.8S ribosomal RNA". The record is from RNAcentral. Lineage: Eukaryota; Fungi.
UCCGUAGGUGAACCUGCGGAAGGAUCAUUACCACUGUCAAAGGGCGUGUUUUCCGAGAGGUCUCGCGCCCGGCCAUUGAGAAAUGGUUUACCCUUGCUUAUCGAAGUACCGUUACGUUUCCUCGGCGAGCUCGCUCGCCAAUGGGGACUCCAAACCAAACUCUUUGCAGUAGCAAUUCUAGUCUGAAACAAAACAAAUCAAUCAAAACUUUCAACAACGGAUCUCUUGGUUCUGGCAUCGAUGAAGAACGCAGCGAAAUGCGAUAAGUAGUGUGAAUUGCAGAAUUCAGUGAAUCAUCGAAUCUUUGAACGCACAUUGCGCCCUUUGGUAUUCCUUAGGGCAUGCCUGUUCGAGCGUCAUUUGACCCCUCAAGCUCUGCUUGGUGAUGGGCGCCUUGUCGACCCCGCGGUUUCCGCAGGCGACUCGCCUCAAAUCUAUUGGCGGCUAGCAUUGCAGUUUCGAGCGCAGCAGAAACGCGAACUCGGGCCUGCGUGUGAGCUCCCAGCAAGCCAACCCCCACAUUUUGACCUCGGAUCAGGUAGGGAUACCCGCUGAACUUAAGCAUAUCAAUAAGCGGAGGGAAGUCGGACUGGCCAAGGGGCACACCAGGGGGGGGGGAUA